RNAcentral lists this transfer RNA (73 nucleotides) under Cordylochernes scorpioides. RNAcentral's name for it is "tRNA-Thr". It matches the Rfam family "tRNA". Rfam says of the family: Transfer RNA (tRNA) molecules are approximately 80 nucleotides in length. Lineage: Eukaryota; Metazoa; Arthropoda; Arachnida; Pseudoscorpiones; Chernetidae. The record is from RNAcentral.
UCCAGGGUAGCCUAGUGGACAUGGCAUCUGCCCGGUAAGCGGAAGGUUGUGGGUUCGAUUCCCGCCCAUGGAC